GCUUAUGGCCAUACCACCCUGAGCGUGCCUGAUCUCGUCUGAUCUCGGAAGCUAAGCAGGGUCAAGCCUGGUUAGUACUUGGAUGGGAGUCUGCCUGGGAGUACCAGUUGCUGUAAGCU
Molecule: ribosomal RNA, 119 nt
Organism: Cyprinus carpio (common carp)
Lineage: Eukaryota; Metazoa; Chordata; Actinopteri; Cypriniformes; Cyprinidae
Source: Ensembl